Long non-coding RNA from Melospiza melodia melodia, 552 nucleotides. RefSeq lists it as uncharacterized. The transcript has 5 exons. The record is from RefSeq and is a predicted model, not a curated record. Lineage: Eukaryota; Metazoa; Chordata; Aves; Passeriformes; Passerellidae.
UUCAGGUGCAGAUGCGUUCCAGGUGUGGCAGAGGGUCAGGGUUAGGAGGUGCCGGGCCUUCUUAGGAGCGCGCUGUCUGAGAGACCCCAGCCCCGGUGCCAGUAGGACCUUCCCAGCUGACGAGGUGGCCUUUCUACGCACCUGACAGGGACCAGCAUCUCCAGGUGUCUGAGAGAUGAGUAGAGGGCUGUGACCCACAGAGGGGAUGAAUAUUGCCAUGGAUUAAAUCUGUGCCAGAGGGCCCCAUCCCGGGUGAGGGGAUUGCCCCGAGCAGGAAGUCAAUCUGGAUACCAGCAGCCAAGGUGAGCAGCGGAGAGAAGUGGUUGCUAUUGCUCAGCUCUCAAGCACAACAAUUUUUCAGCAGAUUCAUUGUGUCACAAGAGGGAUCUUCCCAGUGUCAAGGAUGAUGUUUGAGAUUGAGGCUUCAGGUGCCACUCCUAAUAAAGGCCACAGCCUUGGAAUCAGGAUGAAGCUGGAGCCUGAGGGAGCCAGGCACGCUCAGGAAAGGGCAAGUAGCUGACUUGCAGGGAUUUGGCCCACAUAACUCUGGAC